RNAcentral lists this ribosomal RNA (595 nucleotides) under Planctomycetaceae bacterium. RNAcentral's name for it is "partial 23S ribosomal RNA". It matches the Rfam family "Bacterial large subunit ribosomal RNA", at positions 296 to 856 of the family's 2925-position model. Lineage: Bacteria; Pseudomonadati; Planctomycetota; Planctomycetia; Planctomycetales; Planctomycetaceae. The record is from RNAcentral.
GUGGGGCCUGUCGAUCCAGCCGCAAGCGGAUCAGGGAGUUACCAAGAAAUCAGCUAGAGGAAUGGCAUGGGAAGGCCAACCGCAGAGGGUGAGAGUCCCGUAUUCGAAAGCUGAGAUCCUCCCGCAGCAACCCCGAGUAGCGCCAGACACGGGAAACCUGGUGUGAAUCCGCGGGGACCACCCCGCAAGGCUAAGUACCACUGAACGACCGAUAGCGUAAUAGUAGCGCGAGCGAAAGGUGAAAAGUACCCCGAUAAGGGGAGUGAAAUAGUACCUGAAACCAUAUACUUACGAGCGGUCGAAGGCCUAUGGCUCUUAGGAGCAAUGGCUGACGGCGUGCCUUUUGCAUAAUGAUCCGGCGAGUUACGCUGUCUGGCAAGGUUAAGGGCCUCAGGUCCGGAGCCGAAGGGAAACCGAGUGUGAAUAGCGCGAUUUAAGUCAGGCGGCGUAGACCCGAAAGCGAGUGAUCUACCCAUGAGCAGGGUGAAGCGAAUGUAACAGUUCGUGGAGGCCCGAACGGGUAUAGGUUGAAAACUGUUCCGAUGACUUGUGGGUAGGAGUGAAAGGCUAAUCAAACUUGCAGAUAGCUGGUUCU